This 433-nucleotide ribosomal RNA is filed under the name uncultured bacterium. RNAcentral describes it as "partial 16S ribosomal RNA". It matches the Rfam family "Bacterial small subunit ribosomal RNA", at positions 29 to 507 of the family's 1533-position model. The record is from RNAcentral.
AGCGAACGCUGGCGGCAGGCUUAACACAUGCAAGUCGAGCGGGCACUUCGGUGUCAGCGGCAGACGGGUGAGUAACACGUGGGAACGUACCCUUUGGUUCGGAAUAACGCUGGGAAACUAGCGCUAAUGCCGGAUACGCCCUUUUGGGGAAAGGCUUGCUGCCGAAGGAUCGGCCCGCGUCUGAUUAGCUAGUUGGUGGGGUAAUGGCCUACCAAGGCGACGAUCAGUAGCUGGUCUGAGAGGAUGAUCAGCCACACUGGGACUGAGACACGGCCCAGACUCCUACGGGAGGCAGCAGUGGGGAAUAUUGGACAAUGGGCGCAAGCCUGAUCCAGCCAUGCCGCGUGAGUGAUGAAGGCCUUAGGGUUGUAAAGCUCUUUUGUCCGGGACGAUAAUGACGGUACCGGAAGAAUAAGCCCCGGCUAACUUCGUG